GUGGAAGUGAUUACAGCAAUUGUGUUUGACGGUGAUAUUAAUUUAAAAUAUUCUGCGUUUUCUCUCCUCUGUAUAUUUAUCUCAAUACUUUUUUACUGCUUCCCUGUGCUAAAUGUCCUCUUUCUAAAAUAUCUACGAUCAUUUCUAUUCAUCGACUGGAUGUUUAUUACAUGAUACAAUAGGUAAUGCAAUGAAAGGACUCAAAUAUAAUAGGAGAUUUCUUCUGAAAUGCGUUGGACAAAAUAAAACCAUGAUCAUAGAAAGAAAUUGUGAAUGUUUCUGAAUCUGGAAAAAAAAAAAAAGGGCAAAGGAAGAUCUUUGGUAGAUGAGAAAAAGUUAAGAAUAUUGAUAAGAGGCUGACCUUGAAGACUGGAGUGAUGUAGCCACAAGCCAAGGAAUACUGACAGCCACCAGAGGCUGGAAGAGGCAAGAAACUGAUUGCUUCUGAGAGCCUCCAAAGGCAAUGGGAUCUUGCUGGCACCUUGAUUUCAGCCAAGUCAAAUUCAUUUCAAACUUCUGGCUUCCAGAGCUAGAAGCAAGCAGCAUUGUUGGGAAUAGGCCCACAUGGCAAGAAAGCAGGAAGGUAACAGGUAACAGUCCAAUGAUCGCAUUUCGAAGUGGUGCUUUCAUACGUCAAGUCUGAAGAUGACUCCUGCCCUGGUUAACAUCUCCAUUACAACCUUGUGAAAGAUCUUGAGUUAAAGGUACCUAACUAAAUGGUGCUAUUUACUGAUCCACAGAAUCUUCAAGAUAACAAAUGUGUGUUGUUUUAAUUCACAAUAUUUUGGGGUAAUUUGUUAUGAAACUAUAAUGAUUAAUAAUUACCUGAUAAUAUACGCAUUAAAAUAUAACUUACCGUGC
Long non-coding RNA from Homo sapiens (human), 861 nucleotides. RefSeq lists it as uncharacterized. The transcript is spliced from 4 exons. Lineage: Eukaryota; Metazoa; Chordata; Mammalia; Primates; Hominidae. The record is from RefSeq and is a predicted model, not a curated record.